Non-coding RNA from Oryctolagus cuniculus (rabbit), 3509 nucleotides. Lineage: Eukaryota; Metazoa; Chordata; Mammalia; Lagomorpha; Leporidae. The record is from RefSeq and is a predicted model, not a curated record.
CGACAUUAUUUUGAUUGGUCUCCGAGAGUAUCAGGAUAACAAAGCAGACGUAAUUUUAAAAUACAAUGCAGAUGAAGCUAGAAGUCUGAAGGCAUAUGGCGAGCUUCCUGAACAUGCUAAAAUCAAUGAAACCGAUACAUUUGGUCCUGGAGAUGAUGAUGAAAUCCAGUUUGAUGAUAUUGGAGAUGAUGAUGAAGACAUUGAUGAUAUCUAAAUUGAAUUCAGUUUUCAUUUUCUGAAGACAUUAACUGGGAAUUUUGACCAUCAACUUAAGAAGAAUAGAACUUUAUUUACCAUGAGUAUUGUUUAUUAAAACAAAUUGUCUUAAUUCCGUUUUUUUUUAAUGUAUUUACUAUACUAUAUUUCUUUAAAAAUUGAUGUUGAACCAUCUUAGGUGACAUAUUAAUUCUUUAUUUUUUAUAUAAUGAGACUUAGAAAUAAAACAUUUUUAAAAAAGAGAAAGAAAUGCCUUUUCAACCAUUGACAGUCACAGUUGCAAGAAAUUGAUGUUUAAUCAGAAUUGAAAAUCAAAAUUGAAAGUCAUAGAUUUGUCUGGAAUAGUAUUUAACUAAUUUCUAUAGUCUAUGGACUUGUUCUGUAUCUUUCAGAAAUAUAUUUAUGGUCUCUAUAACAUUUAAGAAUGAUCAAAAUAUACUUUGGAAUGGUGUCAGCUUAAGUAUUUUAUACUGAGUUUGUUACCUUUUAUAUUUUGUAACUAUUUGUUUUCAUCCUUGUAAGUCCAUUUGUAAAAUGCAGUUUUCAAAAUAAGGAUGUAUGUUACAGUUUUGAAUUUAUAAGACUUGUGGCUCCAGAAAUAGUAUAUUGAAACUGGAAGAAGUAGCAUAGUAAUUGAUGCCAUUUUCUUUAGCAUGCAUGGAAAAAUUGUCAAGAUGGUAAGGUACAUCAAGUAUUUUUUACUCUAUGAAAAGUAUGUUAAAAGGUGAAAUUUUAUUUAUAACAGUCAUCCAUUGUAAUCCAGUUUUAAGCUUCAUAAACAGAUGAAUUCAGUAUUUAAGUGGAAAACUAACUUCUUAGUAAAUUUUUUAAACCAAAAAAUUGUAAAUCUUUUCCUGAACUUGGAGUAUGGUAUUCUUCCUGUGUACACAAAACUUCCUGUCAUUUUCAAUGUAAUGGGACAUCUGUCUUCACAAGAAGACUGGAACCUCAUUUUCCAAGAACACAAUGGAGCUUUAUUAUCUCAGAAUGCAGUAAGGCAUCACUUUUCCCAGAGGGCAAGGGAACUGCCCAACCCCAGAAGGCAGGGUGUGAUGACAGAAUUGUUAAUAAGGUGAGGGACUCCAUGGUUGGAAACAUGCAGAAGUAAAGGAGACAAGGAGAGAGGAGAAAAUAGUUGAGGAUUGCAGGUGCUGAGAAGAAAGGAUUUGAAAUGAUAAUAUACUGCUAUAGAAUUCACCUGUAUUCCAUUCCCAAACCACCCAAAGCUAAAAGGUGAGCUUGAGAUGGACAUUUCCUUAUUGCUUCAAAAAGCAAUGAAAAACAUGUAAGUUUCAUUUUUAUGCAUUGUUUUUGCACUGAGUACUGUAUAUCAGAGAAAACAUAUUUGUCUUUUAGGAACUGCCUUAUUUCAUUACGCAACAUGAUCUCAAGUCACAUCCAUUUUGUUAAAAAGACAGGCUUUCAUUCCUUUUUAUGCAUGAGUAGUAUUCCAUAGUGUAUAUUUAACAGAAUUUUAAAAUUCAGCAUGAGUUGAUGGAUAAGUUGAUUGAUUCUAUAUGUGAGGUAUCAUAAAUUGAGCUGUCAUACUCAUAGUAGUGCAAAUAUCUUUCAUUCAUGGAUAUUUUUCUAUCAUCUGUGUACCAUUUAUCCGUUUGCUGCAGGAAGUUUUCUCCCAUGAUAUACAAAAAAAGAUCACGUGUUCACAGUUCAAACAGUCUUCAGAACAUACCGGUUCUCAUUUGGAAUAUUUGGAAGAUGCAUGGUUACAAGUUGUCAUAGGCAUUUUCUCUGAGAAAAACUUUAUAAACAGUUUUCUCUCAUGUUAUUUUACUGUUUAAAGUUUUCUGCCAUUGAUUGGCAAACAAAUAUGAUUCAGCCAUGUGGUUUGUGUGUCUCCCAGGUGGUUGCAGCAAGUGCACAAGGUCCUGUAGUGUCCCCAGGAACUUGCUAUGGUUGCAGCUUGAGCAGCUUAAUGAAUGGAUGGGUGAGCAGGAAACUUCCCUGAGAGCCUCUCUUGGGAUUGUAACACUAUUCUGAAUUGAAAUACCCAGCAGAAUGGCAGUGUACUUCACAACAUUAAUAAGAAAUGAAAUGAAAAAUAUAAAUUUAUGGUGCCAGUGCUAUGGCAUAGUGGGUAAAGCCGCCGCUGCAGUGCCGGCAUCCCAUAUGGGUGCUGGUUCUAGUCCCAGCUGCUCUUCUUCUGAUCCAGCUCUCUGCUGUGGCCUGGGAAAGCAGUAGAAGAUGGCCCAAGUCCUUGGGCCCCUGCACCCGCAUGGGAGACCCGGAGGAAUCUCCUGGCUCGUGGCUCAGCUGUGGCUGUUGUGGCCAUCUAGGGAGUGAACCAGCGGAUGGAAGACCUCUCUCUCUGUCUCUACCUCUCUCUGUAACUGUCUCAAGUUUGAUUGCUCAUGGCUGCCUCUGUGCCACUUUCUGACUUCUGUAUGUCUGUCUGAGGUUUCAUUGGCCUUACCCCCGUCUGUUAGUCUGUGGGUUCAACUGAUUCUACCUUCUCUCUGUUUCAGGUUUUAUUGCCCAUGGCUGCAUCUGUGUUACUGCCUCUCAGAGCUGUUUUCUCUCCUUUAGAUUUGUUCUGACUUGUCUGUCUCAGGUUCGAGUGGCUAUGUGUGUAUGGGUUUGAUUAAUUCUAGCUUUCUGUGUCUAAGUUUUGAUUGACCAUGCCUGCCUGUGACUGACUGUGGGUUUGGUUGUAGUACUCUGUCAGGUUUCUUUCUUUUUUUUUUUUUUAAUUUAUAGAUUUUAUUUAUUUGAGAAGCAGAGUUAGAGAGAGAGACAGAGAACCAUUUGUUCACUCCCCAGAUGGUCACAACAGCCGGUGCUGUGCUGCUCUGAAGUCAGGAGCCAGCAGCAGCAUAGGCAAGGGCCAGGGUACAUUCCACUCUGGUAUUUUGCAAGCCUGGACACUCAGUAUGUCAGAACAGUAAAGAAAGAAUUUCUUUAGGAACUGGUGCAUUCAUCUGUGUGCCUGUCAGAUUCUGUAGGAGGAGAGAAUUUUAUUGGGUUUGCCAAAAGAAUAAUGAGGUUGGGAUGGAACACUUUGUUCUCCAUUCCUGUGUGUUCUCUGGAAAAAAAUAGGGAUGUGUUGUACAUGAGACAAUGUAUGACAAAAAACUUAAGUUCCCAGUGUUGCCCAUUGACUUAUCAGUCCUGCAUGGAUUGAUUUUGCAGUGUGCACUUUGUACUAUACAUUUCCUCUACCCACAGGUAUCAGGAAAGAGAAAAGGCACUCAAUAUAGGAUGAAAAGACACAAAUGGCCCUUGACUUCAUUCAUGUAAACAGUUUUAUCCAUUAUUAAAGCAUAUCUCUCAACCUA